RNAcentral lists this long non-coding RNA (1657 nucleotides) under Centruroides sculpturatus (bark scorpion). RNAcentral describes it as "uncharacterized LOC111626926". Lineage: Eukaryota; Metazoa; Arthropoda; Arachnida; Scorpiones; Buthidae. The record is from RNAcentral.
UUUACUCAGUUUCAAUAUAGAAAAAUCUAUAUUUGAUUGUUUCGUGUAAAAUACAUACACGAUAUUUUCUAUCGGUCAGGUGAAUUCAUAAAAUUUGCUUAUUUAAUAUACUAAUUAACGUUUACGUAACUAAACCAUAACACGCAUAUUUAAUAUAACCAACGUUCGAUGACGUCAGGUAAGCGCUCUUAAAAUGGCGUCGGAUAAACGAAAUAUUACGAAAUUCAGUAAAAAUUGCACUGUCGGUCAAUCGGAAACUUGGUCCGAAAUUACUGGACGAACCAGAGGAAUGAUUUGUUCUAGUUUUGGGGGUGGCGACGUUCGAUUAUAGAAAAUCUCGCUUCCAACCCCUUGUGGAGAAUGGAAACCGAAGACAGAGGGUGAUAGGGAGUCUCUCGAUCCCAAUCCGUCGUCAUUCCGGGGAUAGAAACGUAAAAAAUGCAGAUAUUUAGCCUUAAAAUUCAAAAAGAAUCCAUGACGUCAAUCGCAUUGGAAUUCGUUACGCGCUUUUCUAAUCUCCAUAGAAACGGCAACAAUUGCUGUUUCUAUUGUUGCAACACGAUUUUGCGUCACUUUGCACGUUUUUCGCUUGCUGUGAGGACGUGUGCGCUCUUUGCUCCUGUUUUCGCUGUGUUUUUUGCCUUCUUCAGUGUUCUUUUCUACCGGAACGUGGUUUUAAGAAGACUUGUGGACGCCGACGUUAUACCAAAAUGAAGAUGUUGGAGUGGUUUCGCCGGAGGUUCCGACGGAAGAAUGCGGUGGCGCCGGAGGGAGGGGGUUCCUCGAACGGCUCCGGUGAGACGUUCGAGGACCGUGGGUUCGACCGUGUCUCUGUCGAAUCGAUUAGUUCGGUGUCGUUGGAGACCGUCGAACAAGAGGCAGUGGGUGGUGACGACCUUCCCCCAGUGCGUGUGGCGUGGGACUCUCCCGGAGGCGGGAGAGUUCUGAGUCCAUUCCACUUGGUCAAUGUCGUCAGGGAGCAGCCGGCCACAAGCCUUGUUGUGGAAGACGUAGAGAGUGACGUGUUCUCUUGGAGUUCGACGUCACUUUCUACUUUCGCGUGGUCUGCCUCUCUGUCGUCGCCAUCGUCUUUCCGAAGUCGGAACGGGGAAGCAUCGGAGGAGAGCGCCGCCGAAGUCGAGGAACCGCGGGUUUGUUGCUACGGGUGGCUACGGUUCCCUCGGCCUAGGCGGUGAUCCUCUUCGAUUUUCCCAACUCGUCCUUUUCACCCGGAUGCGACAUUCUGACCGGAUUCGACACUUUCACCCGGACAUGACCUCUUUACUCGGAUGUGGCCUUCUCUUACCCGGAUGUUCUCACGGACUUGUCUCCCGAACGUGACACUCGAUCGACGACAACGGAUUUGACUUCCGAUUGUGACCACCCGGACUUGACACGCUUCUUCACCGGACGCGACAUUCGGCCGACCUUUCUUCCCAAACAGCUGUUACGAGGAUUGAGCUUCAGGUUAGGUUAGGUUAGGUUAGGUUAGGCUAGGCUAGGUCAGGUCCUUCGCUCUCCUCAUGACACUGUUCGGGAAGAAAGACUAUCUGAUAAAGGAACAUUUGGGAGGGAGAAGGAUCUCCCAAAUGUUCCUACAAAACACAAAGUUGAGGAGGGAGAGUGAUUUUUCUCCCUCCCCAACUUUACCACGAAG